UACAGAGGUCUCAAGCGUUGUUCGGAUUCAUUGGGCGUAAAGGGUGCGUAGGCGGCGCGGUAAGUCGGGUGUGAAAUCUCGGAGCUUAACUCCGAAACUGCAUUCGAUACUGCCGUGCUUGAGGACUGGAGAGGAGACUGGAAUUUACGGUGUAGCGGUGAAAUGCGUAGAUAUCGUAAGGAAGACCAGUGGCGAAGGCGGGUCUCUGGACAGUUCCUGACACUGAGGCACGAAGGCCAGGGGAGCAAACGGG
This 253-nucleotide ribosomal RNA is filed under the name uncultured bacterium. Its description in RNAcentral is "partial 16S ribosomal RNA". It matches the Rfam family "Bacterial small subunit ribosomal RNA", at positions 524 to 776 of the family's 1533-position model. The record is from RNAcentral.